Molecule: ribosomal RNA, 394 nt
Filed under: uncultured bacterium
Lineage: Bacteria
Description: partial 16S ribosomal RNA
Rfam family: Bacterial small subunit ribosomal RNA
Source: RNAcentral
AUACGUAGGGAGCGAGCGUUGUCCGGAAUUACUGGGCGUAAAGGGCGCGUAGGCGGCGCUUCAAGUCGUCUGUCAAAUGGGAGGGCUUAACCCUUUUUCGCAGACGAAACUGGAGAGCUUGAGAAGCAGAGAGGCAAACAGAAUUCCUGGUGUAGCGGUGAAAUGCGUAGAUAUCAGGAAGAAUACCAGUGGCGAAGGCGGUUUGCUGGCUGCAUACUGACGCUGAAGCGCGAAAGCCAGGGGAGCAAGCGGGAUUAGAUACCCCGGUAGUCCUGGCAGUAAACGAUGUAUGCUGGGUGUGAGACUAGCGAUAGUUUCGUGCCGAAGUUAACGCGAUAAGCAUACCGCCUGGGGAGUACGGUCGCAAGAUUGAAACUCAAAUGAAUUGGCGGGG